This 878-nucleotide ribosomal RNA is filed under the name Weissella cibaria. Its description in RNAcentral is "bacterial SSU rRNA". It matches the Rfam family "Bacterial small subunit ribosomal RNA", at positions 56 to 889 of the family's 1533-position model. Lineage: Bacteria; Bacillati; Bacillota; Bacilli; Lactobacillales; Lactobacillaceae. The record is from RNAcentral.
UGCAGUCGACGCUUUGUGGUUCAACUGAUUUGAAGAGCUUGCUCAGAUAUGACGAUGGACAUUGCAAAGAGUGGCGAACGGGUGAGUAACACGUGGGAAACCUACCUCUUAGCAGGGGAUAACAUUUGGAAACAGAUGCUAAUACCGUAUAACAAUAGCAACCGCAUGGUUGCUACUUAAAAGAUGGUUCUGCUAUCACUAAGAGAUGGUCCCGCGGUGCAUUAGUUAGUUGGUGAGGUAAUGGCUCACCAAGACGAUGAUGCAUAGCCGAGUUGAGAGACUGAUCGGCCACAAUGGGACUGAGACACGGCCCAUACUCCUACGGGAGGCAGCAGUAGGGAAUCUUCCACAAUGGGCGAAAGCCUGAUGGAGCAACGCCGCGUGUGUGAUGAAGGGUUUCGGCUCGUAAAACACUGUUGUAAGAGAAGAAUGACAUUGAGAGUAACUGUUCAAUGUGUGACGGUAUCUUACCAGAAAGGAACGGCUAAAUACGUGCCAGCAGCCGCGGUAAUACGUAUGUUCCAAGCGUUAUCCGGAUUUAUUGGGCGUAAAGCGAGCGCAGACGGUUAUUUAAGUCUGAAGUGAAAGCCCUCAGCUCAACUGAGGAAUUGCUUUGGAAACUGGAUGACUUGAGUGCAGUAGAGGAAAGUGGAACUCCAUGUGUAGCGGUGAAAUGCGUAGAUAUAUGGAAGAACACCAGUGGCGAAGGCGGCUUUCUGGACUGUAACUGACGUUGAGGCUCGAAAGUGUGGGUAGCAAACAGGAUUAGAUACCCUGGUAGUCCACACCGUAAACGAUGAGUGCUAGGUGUUUGAGGGUUUCCGCCCUUAAGUGCCGCAGCUAACGCAUUAAGCACUCCGCCUGGGGAGUACGACCGC